GGAGGGAUGGCCGAGUGGACUAUGGCGGCAGUCUUGAAAACUGCAGGAGGGGUAAGCCUUCCGUGGGUUCGAAUCCUACUCCCUCCGCCA
RNAcentral lists this transfer RNA (90 nucleotides) under Planctomycetes bacterium RBG_16_41_13. Its description in RNAcentral is "tRNA-Ser". It matches the Rfam family "tRNA". From Rfam's summary of the family: Transfer RNA (tRNA) molecules are approximately 80 nucleotides in length. Their secondary structure includes four short double-helical elements and three loops (D, anti-codon, and T loops). Lineage: Bacteria; Pseudomonadati; Planctomycetota. The record is from RNAcentral.